Molecule: ribosomal RNA, 327 nt
Filed under: Triticum aestivum (bread wheat)
Lineage: Eukaryota; Viridiplantae; Streptophyta; Magnoliopsida; Poales; Poaceae
Description: partial small subunit ribosomal RNA
Source: RNAcentral
AUGGUGGACAUCUUUGGUGCAAGAGACAAGAGGGAUGCAGAGGAGAGGGCAAGGGAGAAGAGGGAUGAAGAGGAAAGGGCAAGGGAGAAGAGGGAUGCAGAGAAGAGGGAUGUAGAGGAGAGUGUGGAUCCAACAAGACAAGAGAUUAAACAAAUGAUGGCCAUGGUGGAAGCGGAUGGUGCAAAACCAGGAAGUGAUGAGCAUUUCUAUGCUACAUUUCAUUUCAUGGAAAAGAAAUAUCGUGAUGUUUUCUCCACUUUCACGGCUCAUGAAUCUGUUGUAAGGCUUGGAUGGAUAAAGAGGAUGUGGGAGCUCAAUAAUAAGUAG